RNAcentral lists this ribosomal RNA (432 nucleotides) under Triticum aestivum (bread wheat). Its description in RNAcentral is "partial small subunit ribosomal RNA". The record is from RNAcentral. Lineage: Eukaryota; Viridiplantae; Streptophyta; Magnoliopsida; Poales; Poaceae.
AUGACCCAGCAGGUGAGGAGGGAGACCAGGAGUGAGGGGGUGACCGCCAUGGGCGGGUACAACCUGUUCCUGGCGACCAAGAUGCCGCCGGAGCACCGCAUCUAUGACCCGGACUUGGAGUCGCUGGAGUCGUCCACGACCCCGUUCCUCACGUCGUUCGAGGUGCUGGACGUGUACAGCGGCCCGCCCAUGGGUGUCUUCAAGUUCCGGCACUGGGGCUACAUGGAGGGCCCAUUCAAGGGCCACCCUCCGCACGGCCACCUCGUCGAGUUCUUCGGUGUCCGUGUCUUCCACGUCGAUCAAGACACCAAGGUGGAGAAGGCAGAGUUCUUCUACGAGCGUGGCAACUUCCUCGCAAGCUUCUUGUCUGCGCCUUCUACUUCUGCUUCUGCUGCAUCGGCUUCAGGUUGCCCUGUGAUGAGAGGAGACUGA